CAUUGGGUUUAAUACCAAAUCAGUCAUGGUUUUUAAAAAAGCAACAAUUCAAAUUAUAUUGUUUGGAUGACACUUAAACUAGCUUUUGGAAUCUAGAAAGCUGCGCAAUUCAAUUCUUGUUUGGAUGUACAAAAGCAUGGCAUUGGUAUUUGUUCUCCACCCAGCCGAUCAGGCAACAACCACCACUCCUCAAGGCGUAAGUACGACUCCUCCCUACUACAACAUUGAUUUCUCCUCUACCCCACCACCCACCUCACCAAUUGGUGCGCUAUCAAGCAACAGCGUACCCCUUCCU
Molecule: long non-coding RNA, 295 nt
Filed under: Setaria viridis
Lineage: Eukaryota; Viridiplantae; Streptophyta; Magnoliopsida; Poales; Poaceae
Description: long non-coding RNA (SVIR_LNC011178)
Source: RNAcentral